GACGAGUGGCGGACGGGUGAGUAAUGCUUGGGAACUUGCCUUUGCGAGGGGGAUAACAGUUGGAAACGACUGCUAAUACCGCAUAAUGUCUUCGGACCAAACGGGGCUUAGGCUCCGGCGCAAAGAGAGGCCCAAGUGAGAUUAGCUAGUUGGUAAGGUAACGGCUUACCAAGGCGACGAUCUCUAGCUGUUCUGAGAGGAAGAUCAGCCACACUGGGACUGAGACACGGCCCAGACUCCUACGGGAGGCAGCAGUGGGGAAUAUUGCACAAUGGGGGAAACCCUGAUGCAGCCAUGCCGCGUGUGUGAA
RNAcentral lists this ribosomal RNA (310 nucleotides) under uncultured bacterium. Its description in RNAcentral is "bacterial SSU rRNA". It matches the Rfam family "Bacterial small subunit ribosomal RNA", at positions 90 to 409 of the family's 1533-position model. The record is from RNAcentral.